UUCGGGCGCCGGCGAGUGGCGAACGGGUGAGUAACACGUGGAGACCUAUCCAUUGGUGGGGGACAACAGCUGGAAACGGCUGCUAAUACCGCAUAAUCCCUACGGGGGAAAGAUUUAUCGCCAUAGGAGGGUUCCGCGUCGGAUUAGCUAGUUGGUGGGGUAACGGCCUACCAAGGCAACGAUCCGUAGCUGGUCUUAGAGGAUGAUCAGCCACACUGGGACUGAGACACGGCCCAGACUCCUACGGGAGGCAGCAGUGGGGAAUAUUGCGCAAUGGAGGAAACUCUGACGCAGCGAUGCCGCGUGGGUGAAGAAGGCCUUAGGGUUGUAAAGCCCUUUCAGUGGGAACGAUGGUGGCGGUACCCACAGAAGAAGCCCCGGCUAACUCCGUGCCAGCAGCCGCGGUAAUACGGAGGGGGCGAGCGUUGUUCGGAAUUAUUGGGCGUAAAGCGCGCGUAGGCGGUUUAUUAAG
RNAcentral lists this ribosomal RNA (472 nucleotides) under uncultured Magnetococcus sp. Its description in RNAcentral is "bacterial SSU rRNA". It matches the Rfam family "Bacterial small subunit ribosomal RNA", at positions 79 to 587 of the family's 1533-position model. The record is from RNAcentral. Lineage: Bacteria; Pseudomonadati; Pseudomonadota; Magnetococcia; Magnetococcales; Magnetococcaceae.